Molecule: ribosomal RNA, 502 nt
Filed under: uncultured bacterium
Lineage: Bacteria
Description: partial 16S ribosomal RNA
Rfam family: Bacterial small subunit ribosomal RNA
Source: RNAcentral
AUUGAACGCUGGCGGAAUGCUUUACACAUGCAAGUCGAACGGCAGCACGGGAGCUUGCUCCUGGUGGCGAGAGGCGAACGGGUGAGUAAUGCAUCGGAACGUACCUAUUAGUGGGGGAUAACUAUCCGAAAGGAUAGCUAAUACCGCAUACGUCCUGAGGGAGAAAGCGGGGGAUCGCAAGACCUCGCGCUAAUAGAGCGGCCGAUGUUGGAUUAGCUAGUGGGUGGGGUAAAGGCCUACCAAGGCGACGAUCCAUAGCUGGUCUGUGAGGAUGAUCAGCCACACUGGGACUGAGACACGGCCCAGACUCCUACGGGAGGCAGCAGUGGGGAAUUUUGGACAAUGGGGGCAACCCUGAUCCAGCCAUUCCGCGUGAGUGAAGAAGGCCUUCGGGUUGUAAAGCUCUUUCGGCAGGAACGAAACGGUGGUUACUAAUACUAGCUACUAAUGACGGUACCUGAAGAAGAAGCACCGGCUAACUACGUGCCAGCCGCCGCCGUAA